Molecule: long non-coding RNA, 1115 nt
Organism: Anolis carolinensis (green anole)
Lineage: Eukaryota; Metazoa; Chordata; Lepidosauria; Squamata; Anolidae
Exons: 2
Source: RefSeq, a predicted model, not a curated record
CAGAAGAGGGGCGGGGAGACGUGUCUCCUAGCAACAGGGAUGCUUUAAUAGAGAGAGAAUAGAGGGGAUGCUGGGAAAAUUCUCUCUUGUCAGAGGGUUUAGUUGACGCAAGGCCGCAGUUCAGUCCUGUGCAAUCCAGGGAUUUCUAGUUUGAUAAGACGUAUGCAGCGUGCAUCGGAAUUUGUUUGUAUUUUUUUUCAAAUGAUAAUCCGGCCCCUCAACAGUCUGAAGGAUUGUGGACCGGCCCUCGGCUUAAAAAGUUUGAGGAACCCUGAUGUAGAUGAUGCCUGGGCCAACUUCGGCCUUCACUCCAGGUGCUUUGGACUUCAACUCCCACAAUUACUAGCAGCCAUUAUUUUUAUUUCCGUUCCUUUAGAAAUGUUUUCAGUUUCAUCCUCUGAUUUGUGAAAUUGCUUUGAGAGAUUAUAUAUAUAUACAGUAGAGUCUCACUUAUCCAACAUAAACGGGCCGGCGGAAUGUUGGAUAAGCGAAUAUGUUGGAUAAUAAGGAGGCAUUAAGGAAAAGCCUAUUAAACAUCAAAUUAGGUUAUGAUUUUACAAAUUAAGCACCAAAACAUCAUGUUAGACAACAAAUUUGACAGAAAAGUAGUUCAAUAUGCAGUAAUGUUAUGUUUUAAUUACUGUAUUUACGAAUUUAGCACCAAAAUAUCACGAUAUAUUGAAAACAUUGACAACAAAAAUGCGUUGGAUAAUCCAGAAUGUUGGAUAAGUGAGACUCUACUGUAUAUAUAUAUAUACACAAAGAUACAUUGCUUUUUAGCACUUUAUUCAUUUCCUACUUUACCCUAUCCCAUAUUAUACCAGUCGACUCUCUGACACUUGAUCAUGCACUUUGUUAAAAAGCUUUGAAAUCGAGUAUUUGACCUCUUUUUAUCUUUAGUGGUUGAUGUUUGUAUCAUUACCUCAUUUUGUCUGUUAUGUGUUUUAUUGUAUGUUGCUUAUUUUAUUUGAUUAUUGUAUCAUUGUUUUUAGCUCUUGAUACUUGUUGUAAUUGUUUUAUUUUGGUUCUGUUUUGGACUUGGCCCCAUGUUAACCGCCCCGAGUCCCUUCAAGGAGAUGGUGACGGGAUAGAAAAAUAAAGUAUUUUUAUUAUUA